UCAGAACGAACGCUGGCGGCGCGUUUAAGCAUGCAAGUCGAGCGGUAACUACCCUUCGGGGUAGCUAGAGCGGCGAACGGGUGAGUAACACGUAGAUUAUCUGCCUUGAGGUUGGGGAUAGCCUGUGGAAACACAGGGUAAUACCGAAUAAGCCCUAUGGGGGAAAGGUGCUAAGGCACCGCCUUAAGAUGAGUCUGCGGCUCAUUAGUUAGUUGGUGGGGUAACGGCCUACCAAGGCGACGAUGAGUAGCCGGCCUGAGAGGGUGGACGGCCACACUGGGACUGAGACACGGCCCAGACUCCUACGGGAGGCAGCAGCUAAGAAUCUUCCGCAAUGGGCGCAAGCCUGACGGAGCGACGCCGCGUGAACGAUGAAGGCCGUGAGGUUGUAAAGUUCUUUUCUUACUGAAGAAUAAUUACCCGAGGGAAUGCGGGUAAGAUGACGUUAGGUAAGGAAUAAGCCCCGGCUAAUUACGUGCCAGCAGCCGCGGUAACACGUAAGGGGCAAGCGUUGUUCGGAAUUAUUGGGCGUAAAGGGCGUGUAGGCGGUUUUACAAGUCUGGUGUGAAAUACCGCAGCUUAACUGCGGGGACGCGCUGGAAACUGUAAGACUAGAGUACAGGAGGGGGACCUGGAAUCCCUGGUGUAGGGGUGAAAUCUGUAGAUAUCAGGAAGAACACCGGUGGCGAAGGCGAGGUCCUGGCCAUGUACUGACGCUGAGGCGCGAAAGCGUGGGGAGCGAACAGGAUUAGAUACCCUGGUAGUCCACGCCGUAAACGAUGUGCACUAGGUGCUUGGGGGUAGCCUUGAGUGCCGUAGCUAACGCGUUAAGUGCACCGNCUGGGGAGUAUGCUCGCAAGGGUGAAACUCAAAGGAAUUGACGGGGGCCCGCACAAGCGGUGGAGCAUGUGGUCUAAUUCGAUGAUACGCGCGAAA
RNAcentral lists this ribosomal RNA (936 nucleotides) under uncultured organism. RNAcentral describes it as "bacterial SSU rRNA". It matches the Rfam family "Bacterial small subunit ribosomal RNA", at positions 24 to 968 of the family's 1533-position model. The record is from RNAcentral.